Molecule: long non-coding RNA, 680 nt
Filed under: Bos taurus (domestic cattle)
Lineage: Eukaryota; Metazoa; Chordata; Mammalia; Artiodactyla; Bovidae
Description: long non-coding RNA NONBTAT024063
Source: RNAcentral
GACUCUUUAGAAAUGGUGUGACCUACUGCACAAAGCUCAGUUCAAUGACUCUUCAUUCUCCCUCUAUUAAAAUACAGUCAGCCUUAUUCCAGUAUACUGUUAGACAAUCAAGUUGCCCUUCCCACCCUGAUUGGAGUUAGUUUUAAUAAUUGCUAUGUGAAUAUUUGCAAUUGGUUCACUUAAACGUAUGUGAAGAGUAACAUUGUGGGUGGUUCUGAUUUAGAAAACUAUAAUAAAUCAGUUUUUUUUUUAAUUUCCUAAACAAAAGAGUGAAGAUUGCAUGUUAAAACUAUAAUCUUGCUAUAAUUUAUGUCCUAAGUUAGAAAUGAUUGCUACUAUAGUUAGCUUCAAUUUCUACAUCCUUUGUUCACAAGAAAUGUUGGCUUUGCUGCCUGCCCUCGUUCCCCUACCACCGCCUUUGCUUCUGUUUCACCUAGUUUCUUGUAAAUUAAUUUUACUUUGUUGCAUACUAAGAAGCAUUUUAACACUGUAAGUUUUUCCUCCGUUCAAAUAUUCUGUCUUUUCUGGUUUUCUGACUGAGGGAUAUUAACUCUUGUCUCUAAGGUGCCACUGUGACCCCAGAUGCACUGAGUAGCUUGGAUGCUUGCAAUGCAAAUCGCUUUGAGUAAACAUUGUAUAGCCUAGUUGGCAUUGCUGAGUAUGUACAUAUUUCUAUCUCA